This 811-nucleotide ribosomal RNA is filed under the name uncultured bacterium. RNAcentral's name for it is "bacterial SSU rRNA". It matches the Rfam family "Bacterial small subunit ribosomal RNA", at positions 46 to 863 of the family's 1533-position model. The record is from RNAcentral.
GCCUACCAUGCAGUUGAGGGGUAUUAGUAGCAAUACUAAGAGACCGGCGCACGGGUGAGUAACGCGUAUGCAACCUACCUUAUACAGGGGAAUAGCUCAGUGAAAACUGAAUUAAUACCCCAUAAAGCAGGGGUACCGCCUGGUACUAUUUGCUAAAGAUUUAUCGGUAUAAGAUGGGCAUGCGUGCCAUUAGCUAGUUGGUAGGGUAACGGCCUACCAAGGCUACGAUGGCUAGGGGGUCUGAGAGGAUGAUCCCCCACACUGGUACUGAGACACGGACCAGACUCCUACGGGAGGCAGCAGUGAGGAAUAUUGGUCAAUGGGCGCAAGCCUGAACCAGCCAUGCCGCGUGAAGGAUGACUGCCCUAAGGGUUGUAAACUUCUUUUGUACGGGGGUAAUUUUUCGGUCGUGACCGGAAUUGAAAGUACUGUAUGAAUAAGCGUCGGCUAACUACGUGCCAGCAGCCGCGGUAAUACGUAGGACGCAAGCGUUAUCCGGAUUUAUUGGGUUUAAAGGGUGCGUAGGCGGAUAUAUAAGUCAGUGGUGAAAGACUGUCGCUCAACGAUAGCAUUGCCAUUGAUACUGUAAAUCUUGAGUACAAUUGAGGUAGGCGGAAUGUGUAGUGUAGCGGUGAAAUGCUUAGAUAUUACACAGAACACCGAUUGCGAAGGCAGCUUACUAAAUUGUUACUGACGCUGAGGCACGAAAGCGUGGGGAUCAAACAGGAUUAGAUACCCUGGUAGUCCACGCCGUAAACGAUGAUCACUGGUUGUUAGCGAUACACAGUUAGCGACUGAGCGAAAGCAUUAA